Long non-coding RNA from Hibiscus syriacus, 168 nucleotides. RefSeq lists it as uncharacterized. The transcript is spliced from 3 exons. NCBI's taxonomy places the organism in Eukaryota, Viridiplantae, Streptophyta, Magnoliopsida, Malvales, Malvaceae. The record is from RefSeq and is a predicted model, not a curated record.
AGCAGAGAAUGAAGGGGAAACCAACAAGCUAAACACACAAUAGAAGUACUGGCUUGCAUCUGCAUGCCAUAAUUUUUUUUCACCAACAUAUUUAAACAAAAAGCAGAUUAUCUUACACUAACUUCUGCAUCUUGAUCAGCUUCACUUGCUUCCCUUAGUUUAGCUGAA